RNAcentral lists this ribosomal RNA (253 nucleotides) under uncultured bacterium. RNAcentral's name for it is "partial 16S ribosomal RNA". It matches the Rfam family "Bacterial small subunit ribosomal RNA", at positions 524 to 776 of the family's 1533-position model. The record is from RNAcentral.
UACGUAGGUGGCAAGCGUUGUCCGGAUUUAUUGGGGUUAAAGGGUGCGUAGGCGGCUUUGUAAGUCAGUGGUGAAAUAUGGCAGCUCAACUGUCAGGGUGCCAUUGAUACUGCAGAGCUUGAGUACAGAUGAGGUAGGCGGAAUUGACGGUGUAGCGGUGAAAUGCUUAGAUAUCGUCAAGAACACCGAUAGCGAAGGCAGUUUACUAGGCUGUAACUGACGCUGAGGCACGAAAGUGUGGGGAUCAAACAGG